CCCUACGGGAGGCAGCAGUGAGGAAUAUUGGUCAAUGGUCGGGAGACUGAACCAGCCAAGCCGCGUGAGGGAUGAAGGUACAGAGUAUCGUAAACCUCUUUUGUCAGGGAACAAAGGCGGGGACGUGUCCCCGGAUGAGUGUACCUGAAGAAAAAGCAUCGGCUAACUCCGUGCCAGCAGCCGCGGUAAUACGGAGGAUGCGAGCGUUAUCCGGAUUUACUGGGUGUAAAGGGCGUGUAGGCGGGAAAGCAAGGCAGAUGUGAAAACCAUGGGCUC
This 276-nucleotide ribosomal RNA is filed under the name uncultured bacterium. Its description in RNAcentral is "partial 16S ribosomal RNA". It matches the Rfam family "Bacterial small subunit ribosomal RNA", at positions 337 to 610 of the family's 1533-position model. The record is from RNAcentral.